RNAcentral lists this ribosomal RNA (119 nucleotides) under Pteropus alecto (black flying fox). The record is from RNAcentral. Lineage: Eukaryota; Metazoa; Chordata; Mammalia; Chiroptera; Pteropodidae.
GUCUACAGCCACGCUACCCUGAACAAGCCCGAUCCUGUCUGAUCUUGGAAGCUAAGCAUGGUCGGGCCUGGUUAGUACUUGGAUGGGAGACUGCCUAGGAAGACCAGGUGCCGUAGGCG